GUGUCAGCAGCCGCGGUAAGACGAAGGAUGCAAGCGUUAUCCGGAUUCAUUGGGUUUAAAGGGAGCGUAGGUGGACUGAUAAGUCAGUGGUGAAAGCCGGUCGCUUAACGAUCGAAUUGCCAUUGAUACUGUUGGUCUUGAGUACAGAUGCUGUGGGCGGAAUAUGACAUGUAGUGGUGAAAUACAUAGAGAUGUCAUAGAACACCGAUUGCGAAGGCAGCUCACAAAACUGUAACUGACACUGAGGCUCGAAAGUGCGGGGAUCAAACAGGAUUAGAAACCCUGGUAGUCC
This 292-nucleotide ribosomal RNA is filed under the name uncultured bacterium. RNAcentral's name for it is "partial 16S ribosomal RNA". It matches the Rfam family "Bacterial small subunit ribosomal RNA", at positions 505 to 796 of the family's 1533-position model. The record is from RNAcentral.